ACGGAAGGCAGCAGUGGGGAUUACUGGACAAUGGGGGAAACCCUGAUCCAGCGACGCCGCGUGAGUGAAGAAGUAUUUCGGUAUGUAAAGCUCUAUCAGCAAGGAAGAAAAUGACGGUACUUGACUAAGAAGCUCCGGCUAAAUACGUGCCAGCAGCCGCGGUAAUACGUAUGGAGCAAGCGUUAUCCGGAUUUACUGGGUGUAAAGGGAGCGUAGACGGCAAAGCAAGUCCGAAGUGAAAUCCCGGGGCUCAACCCCGGAACUGCUUUGGAAACUGUUUAGCUAGAGUGCAGGAGAGGUAAGCGGAAUUCCUAGUGUAGCGGUGAAAUGCGUAGAUAUUAGGAGGAACACCAGUGGCGAAGGCGGCUUACUGGACUGUAACUGACGUUGAGGCUCGAAAGCGUGGGGAGCAAACAGGAUUAGAUACCCUGGUA
This 434-nucleotide ribosomal RNA is filed under the name uncultured Lachnospiraceae bacterium. RNAcentral describes it as "partial 16S ribosomal RNA". It matches the Rfam family "Bacterial small subunit ribosomal RNA", at positions 341 to 792 of the family's 1533-position model. The record is from RNAcentral. Lineage: Bacteria; Bacillati; Bacillota; Clostridia; Lachnospirales; Lachnospiraceae.